Molecule: transfer RNA, 77 nt
Filed under: Marmota monax (woodchuck)
Lineage: Eukaryota; Metazoa; Chordata; Mammalia; Rodentia; Sciuridae
Description: tRNA.Ala
Rfam family: tRNA (bases 6-72)
About the family: Transfer RNA (tRNA) molecules are approximately 80 nucleotides in length. Their secondary structure includes four short double-helical elements and three loops (D, anti-codon, and T loops).
Source: RNAcentral
GGAGUUGUGGCUCAGUGGUAGAGCACUUGCCUAGCAUUAGCAUGUAUGAGGCCCUGGGUUUGAGUCUCAGCAUUGCG